Molecule: ribosomal RNA, 433 nt
Filed under: uncultured bacterium
Lineage: Bacteria
Description: partial 16S ribosomal RNA
Rfam family: Bacterial small subunit ribosomal RNA
Source: RNAcentral
AACGAACGCUGGCGGCAUGCCUAACACAUGCAAGUCGAACGAGACCUUCGGGUCUUGUGGCGCACGGGUGCGUAACGCGUGGGAACCUGCCCUUAGGUUCGGAAUAACUCCCCGAAAGGGGUGCUAAUACCGGAUAAUGCCUUCGGACCAAAGAUUUAUUGCCUUUGGAUGGGCCCUCGUUGGAUUAGCUAGUUGGUAGGGUAAAAGCCUACCAAGGCGACGAUCCAUAGCUGGUCUGAGAGGAUGAUCAGCCACACUGGGACUGAGACACGGCCCAGAAUCCUACGGGAGGGAGCGGUGGGGAAUAUUGGAAAAUGGGCGAAAGCCUGGUCGAGCAAUGCCGCGUGAGUGAUGAAGGCCUGAGGGUAGUAAAGCUCUUUUACCCGGGAUGAUAAUGACAGUACCGGGAGAAUAAGCUCCGGCUAACUCCGUG